This 532-nucleotide long non-coding RNA is filed under the name Chinchilla lanigera (long-tailed chinchilla). Its description in RNAcentral is "lncRNA (ENSCLAG00000026669.1)". Lineage: Eukaryota; Metazoa; Chordata; Mammalia; Rodentia; Chinchillidae. The record is from RNAcentral.
AUAAACAGUUCAAGGCAAACUAAGACUCUACAAGAUUUUUCUUUAAAAAAAAAAAAGCUCUAGAACCUAUUUAAAAAAAAAAAAAACUAAUUCAAACAAGGAUUUCUUAACUAUGCAAGAGCAAGAUUUCUGAGACACAAAGAUAAUGAGGCAGCACAUCAGCCCUGGAGGAGUUGGAGGGGAACGUGUACCCAAUUAAUGAGAAACAAGGCAAGUCUAAGCUGUGGGCACUGGGGGAACUCAAGGAAGUGAGGCUAGGGGUAGCUCCACAGGAAAGAAUUCUGAAGCUCUCAUAAUUGAGAUGAACUCUGAAGAAGGCAAGGUUCAGGCAGGAUGGGAAGGGGCAGGAGGAGGAGAGACAGACAAGGCAGGCUUCGCAGAGCAGGGACUACGCAGUGGUUGCCAGGAGCCAAAAAAGGAGGGGGCACCCCCCCCAGCCUCUGAAUAUGAAGAGGAGAGGCCAACCCCCAGGCUGUUAAGGGGUGGCCAGGUCUGGCUGGACUCCUCCUCGGCCUCAGGACUCAGGGGCUAG